Molecule: ribosomal RNA, 166 nt
Filed under: Deltaproteobacteria bacterium
Lineage: Bacteria; Pseudomonadati; Myxococcota; Myxococcia
Description: partial 23S ribosomal RNA
Rfam family: Bacterial large subunit ribosomal RNA
Source: RNAcentral
GGAUAACCGCUGAAAGCAUCUAAGCGGGAAGCCAACUUCAAGAUAAGAUAUCCCAUCUAUUUAUAGACUGAAGACCCCUUGAAGACUACAAGGUUGAUAGGCCAGGUGUGUAAGCAUGGUAACAUGUUCAGCUAACUGGUACUAAUCGGUCGUGAGGCUUAGCCAC